Molecule: small nucleolar RNA, 140 nt
Organism: Amazona collaria (yellow-billed parrot)
Lineage: Eukaryota; Metazoa; Chordata; Aves; Psittaciformes; Psittacidae
Source: Ensembl
UGCAGCCUUGUCAAAUUCAAUCCCUGCUUCCUCCAUAGCAAGGAUUGGCCAAACGGCUGCCACAGCCACUUCUGUGGUCCAUGAGCCCCACAUCCCCUUCCCCAUGGGACACUGGGGCCUAAAUCAGGCUAUGGACAUGU